UGAGGAAUAUUGGUCAAUGGGCGAGAGCCUGAACCAGCCAAGUCGCGUGAAGGAAGACUGCCUUAUGGGUUGUAAACUUCUUUUAUACAGGAAUAAAAAGGCUUACGUGUAGGCCAUUGCAAGUACUGUAUGAAUAAGCAUCGGCUAACUCCGUGCCAGCAGCCGCGGUAAUACGGAGGAUGCGAGCGUUAUCCGGAUUUAUUGGGUUUAAAGGGUGCGCAGGCGGGCUUUUAAGUCAGCGGUGAAAUCUGGACGCUUAACGUCCAAACUGCCGUUGAAACUGGGAGUCUUGAGUAUGGAUGAAGUAGGCGGAAUUCGUUGUGUAGCGGUGACAUGCAUAGAUAUAACGAGGAACUCCGAUUGCGUAGGCAGCUUACUAAGCCAUAACUGACGCUCAUGCACGAAAGCGUGGGGAUCAAACAGGAUUAGAUACCCUGUAGUCCACGCCGUAAACGAUGAAUUACUAGUUGUAUGCGAUAUGAUAGUAUGUGACU
This 494-nucleotide ribosomal RNA is filed under the name uncultured bacterium. Its description in RNAcentral is "partial 16S ribosomal RNA". It matches the Rfam family "Bacterial small subunit ribosomal RNA", at positions 355 to 848 of the family's 1533-position model. The record is from RNAcentral.